This is a long non-coding RNA of Pleuronectes platessa (European plaice), 1124 nucleotides long. RefSeq lists it as uncharacterized. The transcript is spliced from 3 exons. The record is from RefSeq and is a predicted model, not a curated record. Lineage: Eukaryota; Metazoa; Chordata; Actinopteri; Pleuronectiformes; Pleuronectidae.
CAGCAGAGCACAGAGGGAGGAAUCUGAUCUCAGGCAAGAUCAUCAGUUGUAUUUAACAUACCAGUUUGUAUCAAAGUACAACAGAAUCAAGUUGAAACGUUUCCCUCACACAGAGCACCGCCCACUGUUCCACCGCUCCGCAGUUCACCUGAAAACACCUCAUGGAAAACCUUCUCAUUUCCUAACCCCCCGUUCUGAAGAAGUGAGUUUAUGAUGGAUCUUUAACCGGAUGACUCUCCGACCCGCCGCAGCCCGAUGGAGCAGAACAACACCAUGUUUUCAUCACCUCCGUGUGCCAGACAGGAGUUCUGCCACAGACGUCUGUGUUCUCACCUUCGGCCCAUCUGGAAAAUGUCAGCUGUGUGUGUCGGUGGUGCUGGCUCCAUCCUGUAUCCUCAGGAGAACUCUCAGGUCGACAUGUUGCUUCCUGUCAGCGAUGCUGUGCUGCUGUGGACGGACUCAUUUAGGAUCUGAUCUGAUCUGACGUCAGUUUCCUGCAGGAGUGAGAACAGACGCACAAACCAGAGGGGUGGGGUCGCACAAGGUGAGUUCAGAUAAACGUGACUUGAACUGUUCACCUGCAGGGAACCAAAGCUGCUCGAAUGUGAUUGGUCAAACUGGAAACCUCCAGCCCCAGAAUCGUGUCCCUCGCCUUCAGGUCCUGUCCGUGGAGAUGACCUGAGAGACAAUCCCACAACCAGCUGUUCCUUCCACCUGAAACGUUUCUCCACACAUCAACUGUUCUCUUGUUUCUCUGAUGAAUAAGAGUCUGGUUUUCCCAGACGGCUGCAGAGGAGAUCCGGUGGAUCCACACCUUUGUUCCUGCGUAAGCAUCUUGUUCAUUCACCUCAGAGUGCAAGAGGAAGGGAAAACAAAACCACGAGCAGAUUUCAAACCAUGAUUUAUGAUGCGAUGGUGGUGAGGAUGGGGAACUGUGACGUUGAGCAAGUGUCCGUCAGCGUUACCAAACCACAGAUCCAGGUGAAGCAGAGUUUAUAGAACCUCUCUGACGCGUCUGUGACUUCAGACCGACCUGGAGACCUUCAGCAGAAUGAGGGACGAUCCCAUGUGACUUCUCUUUCCCUCCAACGCGACUAACAUGUGGUCGGAAACACACAACAGGC